UACAGAGGUCUCAAGCGUUGUUCGGAUUCAUUGGGCGUAAAGGGUGCGUAGGUGGCGCCAUAAGUCGGGUGUGAAAUCUCGGGGCUUAACUCCGAAACUGCAUUCGAUACUGUGGUGCUUGAGGACUGGAGAGGAGACUGGAAUUCAUGGUGUAGCAGUGAAAUGCGUAGAUAUCGUGAGGAAGACCGGUGGCGAAGGCGGAUCUCUGGACAGUUCCUGACGCUGAGGCGCGAAGGCCAGGGGAGCAAACGGG
This 253-nucleotide ribosomal RNA is filed under the name uncultured bacterium. RNAcentral's name for it is "partial 16S ribosomal RNA". It matches the Rfam family "Bacterial small subunit ribosomal RNA", at positions 524 to 776 of the family's 1533-position model. The record is from RNAcentral.